Molecule: long non-coding RNA, 227 nt
Filed under: Mytilus galloprovincialis (Mediterranean mussel)
Lineage: Eukaryota; Metazoa; Mollusca; Bivalvia; Mytilida; Mytilidae
Source: RNAcentral
GCGGCGGGGUUAAACAUGUUUAUGAGAUCUCAACCCUCCCCUAUACCUCUAGCCAAUGUAGAAAAGUAAAAGAAUAACAAUACGCACAUUAAAAUUCAGUUCAAGAGAAGUCCGAGUCUGAUGUCAAAAGAUGUAACAAAAGAAAAUAAAUAAAAUGACAAUAAUACAUAAAUAACAACAGACUACUAGCAGUUAACUGACAUGCCAGCUCCAGACCUCAAUUAAAC